Molecule: long non-coding RNA, 628 nt
Filed under: Homo sapiens (human)
Lineage: Eukaryota; Metazoa; Chordata; Mammalia; Primates; Hominidae
Description: HSALNT0406834
Source: RNAcentral
UUCCGCCAUGAUUGUGAGUCUUCCCCAGCCAUGUGGAACUAAUUUUGAAGGUCCCUGAUAAGACAUCUUUGAGGUCAGGCAUAAAUCAUCACUUCACAUCUUGACGGCAAUGCAACGAAGACAAGUAUCUGUCUCUUUGGGUCUGUCUAACAAGGAGCAAAGCCUGGCCUCCCACCAGCAUCCAGACAAUAGUGGAUUCCCUCUCCAUAGAUGUCAAAAAAGAAACAGAUGCUCCCGCAGGUGAAAUGAGCUCUGGUCCACAAUGCAACGCAGGCUGUGCAGAAAAUCAAAGAGGAACCAACCCAGAAGUAUCCCCCAGGACAAAUCAUUAAGGGGGAAAAGGUCUCUGCAAAUGUAAUGAGUCCAGACACCAAGGGAAACGGAGAAGAUAAGAAGCAGAGAUUGAGGUAAUGCGUCCACCAGCCAAGGAGCACCAAGACGUGCUGGCGACCACCAGAUGCUAGCGGGGAGACCUGGAACAGAUUCUCCCUCAAAGCCUCCAGAAGUAAACCAACUCUGUAGACACCUUCAUUUCAGACUUCUGGUCUCCAGAGCUGUGAGAGAAUCCAUUUCUGUUCAUUGCAGCCACUUUUUUCUUUUCUUCCUUCUUUCUUUUCUUUUUUCUUUC